UUGAAAGUUAUCCAUUCCGAGGUCCUCUCCUUGCUGGCCAAGAAUGUUGAACUGAAGGCCAAAAGUACUCAAUAUCUUCGCGUCGUAUCUGAAAAAGAGUCUUUGCGUCAGGAGAUCAACAAAGCUGAGGACGAGUUGAAAGAAAUCUCUUCCGAAGUCAUGAUUGAAGACUCUUUGAUGGCUAGUUUGGCUGCUCAGAUGAAGGAACUUCAAGCCAAAAUGGACGACUGCAAGGCGAGAAUGGCUGC
RNAcentral lists this long non-coding RNA (248 nucleotides) under Olea europaea (common olive). RNAcentral describes it as "long non-coding RNA (OEUR_LNC007974)". The record is from RNAcentral. Lineage: Eukaryota; Viridiplantae; Streptophyta; Magnoliopsida; Lamiales; Oleaceae.